UCUGUGUUAUAACAGAUGAUGUGGAUUUAGAGCUGUGUUGGAAACACGACCUUUUAAUCCUCGUGAAUGGGGCGAACUGUUUGCCUGUAAGAACAACAUCAGGGCAUAAUUUACUUCAUUUUUCUUCAGUGAGGUGAUUGGUUAGCGCAGCGGUGGCGGGGCUUUGUGAAGUUUACUGUGCACUGUUAGCUGAAGUUUACUGAUGUUUACUGAGUUGUUGUUGAGUAUGAAGAGCUGUUUGACACACGAUCGGAUACUUAAAUGACAGCGAGAGCAGAAGAAUAGACGUAAAUAAGCGAAAAUGGUGUGAAAUUGUGAUCUUGUUUUGGGUCGAUCUAUGUUUUGUCGGCUUUGCUUCAGCUAAGCUAAAGUGAAGCGCGCUGCCUGUUUACAUAUUUACCAUCAGCUGUGAGCUAGCUAGUUAGCACCGCUCAGAGGCAACUGGAUAAUGAUGAGCUCUGCACGGGAGAUUAAACAGCUACAGAAAGCAAAGAGCAAAGCGCAGAACAGCAACAACUUGAGAGAGGAAGCCAAUAUCUGCAAUCAUCUUGGGGAGCUGCUGUCCAGAAAUGGUGAUUACGAGGCCGCCAUAAGGGAGCAUCAGCAGGAGCUGGCUCUAUCAGAGGUG
This is a non-coding RNA of Labrus bergylta (ballan wrasse), 628 nucleotides long. The record is from RefSeq and is a predicted model, not a curated record. NCBI's taxonomy places the organism in Eukaryota, Metazoa, Chordata, Actinopteri, Labriformes, Labridae.